This 497-nucleotide ribosomal RNA is filed under the name uncultured bacterium. RNAcentral describes it as "partial 16S ribosomal RNA". It matches the Rfam family "Bacterial small subunit ribosomal RNA", at positions 28 to 507 of the family's 1533-position model. The record is from RNAcentral.
GAUGAACGCUGGCGGCGUGCCUAAUACAUGCAAGUCGAGCGAACAGACGAGGAGCUUGCUCCUCUGACGUUAGCGGCGGACGGGUGAGUAACACGUGGAUAACCUACCUAUAAGACUGGGAUAACUUCGGGAAACCGGAGCUAAUACCGGAUAAUAUAUUGAACCGCAUGGUUCAAUAGUGAAAGGCGGUUUUGCUGUCACUUAUAGAUGGAUCCGCGCCGCAUUAGCUAGUUGGUAAGGUAACGGCUUACCAAGGCAACGAUGCGUAGCCGACCUGAGAGGGUGAUCGGCCACACUGGAACUGAGACACGGUCCAGACUCCUACGGGAGGCAGCAGUAGGGAAUCUUCCGCAAUGGGCGAAAGCCUGACGGAGCAACGCCGCGUAAGUGAUGAAGGUCUUCGGAUCGUAAAACUCUGUUAUUAGGGAAGAACAAAUGUGUAAGUAACUAUGCACGUCUUGACGGUACCUAAUCAGAAAGCCACGGCUAACUACGUG